RNAcentral lists this ribosomal RNA (212 nucleotides) under uncultured bacterium. RNAcentral's name for it is "partial 16S ribosomal RNA". It matches the Rfam family "Bacterial small subunit ribosomal RNA", at positions 524 to 732 of the family's 1533-position model. The record is from RNAcentral.
UACGUAGGGUGCAAGCGUUAAUCGGAAUUACUGGGGCGUAAAGCGUGCGCAGGCGGUUUUGUAAGUCUGUCGUGAAAUCCCCGGGCUCAACCUGGGAAUUGCGAUGGAGACUGCAAGGCUAGAAUCUGGCAGAGGGGGGGUAGAAUUCCACGUGUGAGCAGUGAAAUGCGUAGAGAUGUGGAGGAACACCGAUGGCGAAGGCAGCCCCCUGG